Molecule: RNA transcript, 881 nt
Organism: Carlito syrichta (Philippine tarsier)
Lineage: Eukaryota; Metazoa; Chordata; Mammalia; Primates; Tarsiidae
Gene name: serine/threonine-protein kinase VRK1 pseudogene
Exons: 2
Source: RefSeq, a predicted model, not a curated record
AUCCUGGAGUAUAUUCACGAGCACGAGUAUGUGCAUGGAGACAUCAAGGCCUCAAAUCUUCUUCUGAGCCACGAGAAUCCCGACCAGGUGUACUUGGUCGAUUAUGGACUUGCUUAUCGGUACUGCCCAGAAGGCGUUCAUAAAGAGUACAAAGAAGACCCCAAAAGGUGUCACGAUGGCACUAUUGAAUUCACCAGCAUUGACGCGCACAAUGGCGUGGCCCCAUCAAGACGUGGUGAUCUGGAAAUCCUUGGUUAUUGCAUGAUCCAGUGGCUUACGGGCCAUCUUCCUUGGGAGGAUAAUUUGAAAGAUCCUAAUUAUGUCAGAGAUUCGAAAAUUAGAUACAGAGAAAAUAUUGCAGGUUUGAUGGACAAAUGUUUUCCCGAGAAAAACAAACCAGGUGAAAUUGCGAAAUACAUGGAAACAGUGAAACUACUAGACUAUACUGAAAAACCUCUUUAUCAGAAUUUGCGAGAUAUUCUUUUGCAAGGACUAAAAGCCAUAGGAAGUAAGGAUGAUGGCAAACUGGACCUCAGUGUUGUGGAGAAUGGAGCUUUGAAAGCAAAAACAAUGACUAAGCGAAAGAAAGAAAUGGAAGAAAGCGCAGAAUCUAGUGUUGAAGAUAUGGAAUGCUCAAAUGCUCAGACAGAGACCACUCAAACCCGUUCAAGAACCAGAAGGAGAGUCCAGAAGUAAUUCAAAAGCUGUGAACCAUCCUUUUCAUUUGACCUUUUUCUCCUUUUCUAUUUGAAGUGUUUUAUUUUCAUGUGAGUCUUGUGGGGUAGGAAUAAUAAUUAGAUGCCUAUGUCUUUGAAAAACAUACACCUUUUUUAUUAAAAUAAAUAUUUUGUACAAUUGAUUAAAGGCUAAUAUAUGCAGUU